UAAAUAUUCCUAAUCAGUUUGCUAUAUGGCUUCCAUAACUUGCGGGAGAAGUGUUUCUACACCUUUCUUGCCAAAGACAUGGUUCGCAAUUUGCCCGUGGCGCGAUUUAAUGGGAAGCAUACACCUACAUAUGGUACCUAUAGAGAGAAGAUCAAUCAAUCGAUCUAACCUAAAGGGUAUUUCUUUGUUAAUUUGGAGCCAGCGAAUAGAGAUAUUGUGUCCUACCUGAUAGGCGAGAUCUCGAGACCAUUGUAUCUAUAUGGAUAGACAUCUCGCGGAUCAACAAGAACCUUUCAAAACAGAUAAUUUCCGUUUGUCCUUUGACUUAAAAGGAUUUAUUUUUUCAUGUUAGCUUUUUAUGUGUAAAAAUAGCACCACUACUAUAGAAUGGUAAAUAAAGCAGAAAAAUU
Long non-coding RNA from Photinus pyralis (common eastern firefly), 410 nucleotides. RefSeq lists it as uncharacterized. NCBI's taxonomy places the organism in Eukaryota, Metazoa, Arthropoda, Insecta, Coleoptera, Lampyridae. The record is from RefSeq and is a predicted model, not a curated record. The transcript has 2 exons.